UACGUAGGUGGCGAGCGUUGUCCGGAUUUACUGGGCGUAAAGAGCGCGCAGGCGGUCGUCCAAGUCGCGUGUGAAAGCCCCCGGCUCAACUGGGGAGGGUCACGCGAUACUGAUCGACUCGAAGGCAGGAGAGGGAAGCGGAAUUCCCGGUGUAGUGGUGAAAUGCGUAGAUAUCGGGAGGAACACCAGUGGCGAAGGCGGCUUCCUGGCCUGUUCUUGACGCUGAGGCGCGAAAGCUAGGGUAGCAAACAGG
This 253-nucleotide ribosomal RNA is filed under the name uncultured bacterium. RNAcentral's name for it is "partial 16S ribosomal RNA". It matches the Rfam family "Bacterial small subunit ribosomal RNA", at positions 524 to 776 of the family's 1533-position model. The record is from RNAcentral.